AGCGAACGCUGGCGGCAGGCCUAACACAUGCAAGUCGAACGAAGUCAUCGGACUUAGUGGCGGACGGGUGAGUAACACGUGGGAACGUGCCUUUAGGUUCGGAAUAACUCAGGGAAACUUGUGCUAAUACCGAAUGUGCCCUUCGGGGGAAAGAUUUAUCGCCUUUAGAGCGGCCCGCGUCUGAUUAGCUAGUUGGUGAGGUAAAGGCUCACCAAGGCGACGAUCAGUAGCUGGUCUGAGAGGAUGAUCAGCCACAUUGGGACUGAGACACGGCCCAAACUCCUACGGGAGGCAGCAGUGGGGAAUCUUGCGCAAUGGGCGAAAGCCUGACGCAGCCAUGCCGCGUGAAUGAUGAAGGUCUAAGGAUUGUAAAAUUCUUUCACCGGGGACGAUAAUGACGGUACCCGGAGAAGAAGCCCCGGCUAACUUCGUGCCAGCCGCCGCAGUAA
Molecule: ribosomal RNA, 449 nt
Filed under: uncultured bacterium
Lineage: Bacteria
Description: partial 16S ribosomal RNA
Rfam family: Bacterial small subunit ribosomal RNA
Source: RNAcentral